AGAGUUUGAUCCUGGCUCAGGAUGAACGCUAGCGGCAGGCUUAACACAUGCAAGUCGAGGGGUAACAGGAAGUGCUUGCACUUUGCUGACGACCGGCGCACGGGUGCGUAACGCGUAUACAAUCUACCUUAUACUAGGGGAUAGCCUUUAGAAAUGAAGAUUAAUACCCUAUAGUCUAUUAAUAUAGCAUUAUAUAAAUAGUAAAGAUUACGGUAUAAGAUGAGUAUGCGUCCUAUUAGUUAGUUGGUAAGGUAACGGCUUACCAAGACAACGAUAGGUAGGGGCCCUGAGAGGGGGAUCCCCCACACUGGUACUGAGACACGGACCAGACUCCUACGGGAGGCAGCAGUGAGGAAUAUUGGACAAUGGAGGCAACUCUGAUCCAGCCAUGCCGCGUGCAGGAAGACUGCCCUAUGGGUUGUAAACUGCUUUUAUAUAGGAAGAAACAUUUCUACGUGUAGAGAUUUGACGGUACUAUAAGAAUAAGACCGCUAACU
RNAcentral lists this ribosomal RNA (497 nucleotides) under uncultured bacterium. RNAcentral's name for it is "bacterial SSU rRNA". It matches the Rfam family "Bacterial small subunit ribosomal RNA", at positions 8 to 502 of the family's 1533-position model. The record is from RNAcentral.